GGCGGCAGGCCUAACACAUGCAAGUCGAACGCUAAUAGCAAUACGGAAGGUUGACGGGUGAGUAACGCGUGGCGAACCUUUGAAUAAUGUCUGGGAGACUGGGCUAAUGGAGGGGGAUAACUACUUAAAUCCUUAGGGGAAUACGGUAUAUCGCCGGGAGAAUUGGGGCCACUCCGUAUUAACUCGUUGGGGGAGAGAUUUAUUGCCAUUGGAUGGGCCCGCGUCGGAUUAGCUAGUUGGUGAGGUAAUGGCUCACCAAGNCAACGAUCCGUAGCUGGUCUGAGAGAAUGACCAGCCACACUGGGACUGAGACACGGUCCAGACUCCUACGGGAGGCAGCAGUGGGGAAUCUUGGACAAUGGGCGCAAGCCUGAUCCAGCCAUGCCGCGU
RNAcentral lists this ribosomal RNA (390 nucleotides) under uncultured Gammaproteobacteria bacterium. RNAcentral describes it as "partial 16S rRNA". It matches the Rfam family "Bacterial small subunit ribosomal RNA", at positions 38 to 402 of the family's 1533-position model. Lineage: Bacteria; Pseudomonadati; Pseudomonadota; Gammaproteobacteria. The record is from RNAcentral.